GACGAACGCUGGCGGCGUGCCUAAUACAUGCAAGUAGAACGCUGAAGAGAGGAGCUUGCUCUUCUUGGAUGAGUUGCGAACGGGUGAGUAACGCGUAGGUAACCUGCCUGGUAGCGGGGGAUAACUAUUGGAAACGAUAGCUAAUACCGCAUAAUAUUGACUAUUGCAUGAUAGUUGAUUAAAAGGUGCAAUUGCACCACUACCAGAUGGACCUGCGUUGUAUUAGCUAGUUGGUGGGGUAACGGCUCGCCAAGGCGACGAUACAUAGCCGACCUGAGAGGGUGAUCGGCCACACUGGGACUGAGACACGGCCCAGACUCCUACGGGAGGCAGCAGUAGGGAAUCUUCGGCAAUGGACGGAAGUCUGACCGAGCAACGCCGCGUGAGUGAAGAAGGUUUUCGGAUCGUAAAGCUCUGUUGUAAGAGAAGAACGAGUGUGAGAGUGGAAAGUUCACACUGUGACG
RNAcentral lists this ribosomal RNA (464 nucleotides) under Streptococcus sp. oral taxon 058. RNAcentral's name for it is "bacterial SSU rRNA". It matches the Rfam family "Bacterial small subunit ribosomal RNA", at positions 28 to 474 of the family's 1533-position model. Lineage: Bacteria; Bacillati; Bacillota; Bacilli; Lactobacillales; Streptococcaceae. The record is from RNAcentral.